CCCCCUUAUAGGAGCCUCAGAAAGCUGGUACCUAGGUUUGGGGGUAGGGAUGGGGUUGGGCAGAGACCCCAGAGGGCUCAGGGUUCUCCCUCCCCACACUCAUCUCACUGCUUUCCCUCCAAGUUCAGCACCACAGCGAUGCCUUUGCCCAGGUGAACCCCCUGAGGAAGGUGCCGGCCUUGAAAGACGGGGACUUCACCUUGGCUGAGAGCCUGUUGACGCUGGCUGCCGAGUCUUCGAGAGCCGACCCAAGCUGGCUACAUGGCGCCACCACAUGGAGGCUGCGGUGGAGGAGGAUCUCUUCCAGGAGGCCAAUGCAGACAUUCUAAAGCUCAAGGACCUGCCUCCGGCAGACCCCUUCACGAAGGCGAAGCUGAGGCCCUCAGUGCAGGAUUUGUUGCAGUGAGCGGGUGGCCUGUGCUGGCAGAAUACAGAGAUGGAGCUGCCUAUCUCCUUGGCUGUAAGGACCCCCCGUCUGAAUGGGCUCUGGUCCCUAGUACCCUCCAGGCAUCGUGCCUGUGUGUGUUCCCUUUGUCUCCCCAUCCCACUUUUCCCCUUCUGUUCCAGCUUCCACGUGACCUCUGGAAACUGCUUGAGUAAACACUUAGUGGACCUUG
Propithecus coquereli (Coquerel's sifaka) is the source of this 617-nucleotide long non-coding RNA. RefSeq lists it as uncharacterized. The transcript is spliced from 2 exons. NCBI's taxonomy places the organism in Eukaryota, Metazoa, Chordata, Mammalia, Primates, Indriidae. The record is from RefSeq and is a predicted model, not a curated record.